This 482-nucleotide ribosomal RNA is filed under the name uncultured bacterium. RNAcentral describes it as "partial 16S ribosomal RNA". It matches the Rfam family "Bacterial small subunit ribosomal RNA", at positions 28 to 507 of the family's 1533-position model. The record is from RNAcentral.
GACGAACGCUGGCGGCGUGCUUAACACAUGCAAGUCGAACGAUGAAGAAGAGAAACGCGAACUUCGGUUCAAAUUUCACUUCGGAUUAGUGGCAGACGGGUGAGUAACGCGUGAGCAACCUACCUCUUACAAAGGGAUAGCCUCCGGAAACCGUGAUUAAUACCAUAUGACACAUUCAUAAGGCAUCUUAAGAAUGUUAAAGCUACGGCGGUAAGAGAUGGGGUCGCGUCCCAUUAGCUAGUUGGUGCGGUAACGGCCCACCAAGGCGACGAUGGGUAACCGGGAGGAGAAGGGGAAAGAUCACAUUGGAGAUAAGACACAGUCCAAAAUCCUACGCAAGAGAGCAGAGGAGAAUACUGCACAAUGAAGGGAACUCUGACGACGCGACGCCGCGGAAGCGAGGAAGGAAUUCGUAACGUAAAUCUCUGUUCUAUGAGAAGAAAAGGACGGUACCAGAGGAGAAAGCCCCGGCUAAAUACGUG